Molecule: ribosomal RNA, 1141 nt
Filed under: uncultured Synechocystis sp.
Lineage: Bacteria; Bacillati; Cyanobacteriota; Cyanophyceae; Synechococcales; Merismopediaceae
Description: bacterial SSU rRNA
Rfam family: Bacterial small subunit ribosomal RNA
Source: RNAcentral
CGAAAGCCUGACGGAGCAAUACCGCGUGAGGGAGGAAGGCUUUUGGGUUGUAAACCUCUUUUGUCAGGGAAGAAAAUUUGACGGUACCUGAAGAAAAAGCAUCGGCUAACUCCGUGCCAGCAGCCGCGGUAAUACGGAGGAUGCAAGCGUUAUCCGGAAUAAUUGGGCGUAAAGGGUCCGCAGGUGGCCAUUCAAGUCUGCUGUCAAAGACCGUGGCUCAACCACGGAAAGGCAGUGGAAACUGUUUAGCUAGAGUACGGUAGGGGUAGAGGGAAUUCCCAGUGUAGCGGUGAAAUGCGUAGAUAUUGGGAAGAACACCGGUGGCGAAAGCGCUCUACUGGGCCGAAACUGACACUGAGGGACGAAAGCUAGGGUAGCGAAAGGGAUUAGAUACCCCUGUAGUCUUAGCUGUAAACGAUGGAUACUAGGUGUAGCUUGUAUCGACCCGAGCUGUGCCGAAGCUAACGCGUUAAGUAUCCCGCCUGGGGAGUACGCACGCAAGUGUGAAACUCAAAGGAAUUGACGGGGGCCCGCACAAGCGGUGGAGUAUGUGGUUUAAUUCGAUGCAACGCGAAGAACCAUACCAGGGCUUGACAUGUGGCGAAUCUCUGUGAAAGCAGGGAGUGCCUUAGGGAGCGCCAACACAGGUGGUGCAUGGCUGUCGUCAGCUCGUGUCGUGAGAUGUUGGGUUAAGUCCCGCAACGAGCGCAACCCUCGUUUUUAGUUGCCAUUUUAAUGGCUCUCUAGAGAGACUGCCGGGGACAACUCGGAGGAAGGUGGGGAUGACGUCAAGUCAGCAUGCCCCUUACGCCCUGGGCUACACACGUACUACAAUGGUUGGGACAAAGGGCAGCAAACCCGCGAGGGCAAGCGAAUCUCAUCAAACCCAGCCUCAGUUCAGAUUGCAGGCUGCAACUCGCCUGCAUGAAGGAGGAAUCGCUAGUAAUCGCAGGUCAGCAUACUGCGGUGAAUUCGUUCCCGGGCCUUGUACACACCGCCCGUCACACCAUGGAAGCUGGCUACGCCCGAAGUCGUUGCCCUAACCCUUAGGGGAGGGGGAUGCCGAAGGUAGAGCUAGUGACUGGGGUGAAGUCGUAACAAGGUAGCCGUACCGGAAGGUGUGGCUGGAUCACCUCCUUUA